UCGACGUGGUUUCGUGACUACUGGCUGAGCCAACAUCCAGAGGGGAGCUUUGACGGUAGUGCUAAUGGUAACGAUGACGUUGAGGAAUUGUUGCCGGAGAAGUUCGACAUCGGUUUUGAUGAUGAGUUUGGUAAUCUUGUAGCUCAGUUUGAGGAGCUGGUCAUUUUGAAUGAAGAGAAAGAGGAGAAGAAGAAGCCUCUCAAUGGCGUUAAAAUGGAUGUGAACGGGGUACUCAAGGAACUGAGCAUACCAAAAUCACCCAAAGAAAGGAGUGUGAAAUCUCCGGUGAAGCCAGGCAAGUACCAAAUGAAGACAGCCCACUGCGGGAGCCCAAAGGGUGUGGCUCGACGCAAUCACCAAAUUCACCAGCCACGUUGAAAGAUAUGAUGCAUGGUUAAUAAGGGAGCAUUGGGACUGCUUUUGUGUUCAUUGUAGCAACAUCACUAACAUUUACAUUAGUAGAGGAGGUAUCAAUUAGGCUUUG
Molecule: unclassified non-coding RNA, 484 nt
Filed under: Hevea brasiliensis (rubber tree)
Lineage: Eukaryota; Viridiplantae; Streptophyta; Magnoliopsida; Malpighiales; Euphorbiaceae
Source: RNAcentral